RNAcentral lists this ribosomal RNA (1511 nucleotides) under metagenome. Its description in RNAcentral is "bacterial LSU rRNA". It matches the Rfam family "Bacterial large subunit ribosomal RNA", at positions 1277 to 2925 of the family's 2925-position model. The record is from RNAcentral.
UUAGAUCAGAAGCGAGAAUGUUGACAUGAGUAGCGACAAACAGGGUGAGAAACCCUGUCGCCGAAAGUCCAAGGGUUCCUGCUUAAAGCUAAUCUGAGCAGGGUAAGCCGGCCCCUAAGGCGAGGCCGAAAGGCGUAGUCGAUGGGAACCAGGUUAAUAUUCCUGGGCCAGUGGGAUGUGACGGAUCGCAGAUGUAGUUUGCCCUUAUCGGAUUGGGUGGGCUGCUGAGCGGUUCCAGGAAAUAGCCCCACAUCAGACCGUACCCUAAACCGACACAGGUGGACUGGUAGAGUAUACCAAGGCGCUUGAGAGAACCACGUUAAAGGAACUCGGCAAAAUGCCUCCGUAAGUUCGCGAGAAGGAGGCCCCAUAUGUACGCAAGUAUGUGUGGGGGGCACAAACUAGGGGGUGGCGACUGUUUACUUAAAACACAGGGCUGUGCGAAGCCGUAAGGCGACGUAUACAGUCUGACGCCUGCCCGGUGCUGGAAGAUUAAGAGGAGGGGUGCAAGCUCUGAAUUGAAGUCCCAGUAAACGGCGGCCGUAACUAUAACGGUCCUAAGGUAGCGAAAUUCCUUGUCGGGUAAGUUCCGACCUGCACGAAUGGCGUAACGAUCUCCCCGCUGUCUCUAACGUGGACUCAGCGAAAUUGAACUGUGUGUCAAGACGCACACUUCCCGCGGUUAGACGGAAAGACCCCAUGAACCUUUACUCCAGCUUUGCACUGGUAUCAGGAUUGUGAUGUGCAGGAUAGGUGGUAGGCAUUGAAGCGGGGACGCCAGUCUUCGUGGAGCCUCCCUUGAGAUACCACCCUUCGCCAUCUUGAUAUCUAACCGCGGCCCGUUAUCCGGGUCCGGGACCCUGCAUGGUGGGGAGUUUGACUGGGGCGGUCGCCUCCCAAACAGUAACGGAGGCGCGCGAUGGUUGGCUCAGACCGGUCGGAAAUCGGUCGUUGAGUGCAAUGGCAGAAGCCAGCCUGACUGCAAGACUGACAAGUCGAGCAGAGACGAAAGUCGGUCAUAGUGAUCCGGUGGUCCCAAGUGGGAGGGCCAUCGCUCAACGGAUAAAAGGUACUCUGGGGAUAACAGGCUGAUGAUGCCCAAGAGUCCAUAUCGACGGCAUCGUUUGGCACCUCGAUGUCGGCUCAUCUCAUCCUGGGGCUGGAGCAGGUCCCAAGGGUAUGGCUGUUCGCCAUUUAAAGAGGUACGUGAGCUGGGUUUAGAACGUCGUGAGACAGUUCGGUCCCUAUCUGCCGUGGGUGCAGGAGACUUGAGAAGAGUUGACCCUAGUACGAGAGGACCGGGUUGAACGAACCACUGGUGGACCAGUUAUCGUGCCAACGGUAGUGCUGGGUAGCUAUGUUCGGACAGGAUAACCGCUGAAGGCAUCUAAGCGGGAAGCCCCCUUCAAAACAAGGUCUCCCUUGAGGGCCGUGGAAGACGACCACGUCGAUAGGCCAGAGGUGUAAGUGCAGCAAUGCAUUCAGCUGACUGGUACUAAUUGCCCGCAAAC